Long non-coding RNA from Drosophila ananassae, 289 nucleotides. RefSeq lists it as uncharacterized. The record is from RefSeq and is a predicted model, not a curated record. NCBI's taxonomy places the organism in Eukaryota, Metazoa, Arthropoda, Insecta, Diptera, Drosophilidae. The transcript has 2 exons.
AUUAUUCCUACAUAAGUAGUUACAUAUGUAAAUAUAUACGUAUAUGUACGUAUGUAUACAUAGUCCUACGUACAUUUAAUACCAAAUUUCCUGGCCGAGCUUUUCCUGGGGUAAAAAAUAUUUUACUUCGAUAAGAAACACCAAAUCAAUGAGAUCGAACAAACGAAAAUCGAAUCGAAGCAGAGGAAGAACUUCUGCCGAUCCUCUGCUGCUGUGAAUGUUGGACCGUGCAUAAUUAUUUUUGCUUUCGGCUAUUUCGAAGACACACUUACAAUGAAAAGGGAUCGGA